This 468-nucleotide ribosomal RNA is filed under the name uncultured bacterium. Its description in RNAcentral is "partial 16S ribosomal RNA". It matches the Rfam family "Bacterial small subunit ribosomal RNA", at positions 28 to 507 of the family's 1533-position model. The record is from RNAcentral.
GACGAACGCUGGCGGCGUGCUUAACACAUGCAAGUCGAACGGAAAGGCCCUGCUUUUGUGGGGUGCUCGAGUGGCGAACGGGUGAGUAACACGUGAGUAACCUGCCCUUGACUUUGGGAUAACUUCAGGAAACUGGGGCUAAUACCGGAUAGGAGCUCCUGCUGCAUGGUGGGGGUUGGAAAGUUUCGGCGGUUGGGGAUGGACUCGCGGCUUAUCAGCUUGUUGGUGGGGUAGUGGCUUACCAAGGCUUUGACGGGUAGCCGGCCUGAGAGGGUGACCGGCCACAUUGGGACUGAGAUAGGGCGCAGACUCCUACGGGAGGCAGCAGUGGGGAAUAUUGCACAAUGGGCGGGAGCCUGAUGCAGCAACGCCGCGUGCGGGAUGACGGCCUUCGGGUUGUAAACCGCUUUCGCCUGUGACGAAGCGUGAGUGACGGUAAUGGGUAAAGAAGCACCGGCUAACUACGUG